UACGUAGGGGGCAAGCGUUGUCCGGAAUCAUUGGGCGUAAAGCGCGCGUAGGCGGCCCGGUAAGUCCGCUGUAAAAGUCCAGGGCUCAACCCUGGAAAGCCGGUGGAUACUGUCAAGCUCGAGUCCGGAAGAGGAGUGUGGAAUUCCUGGUGUAGCGGUGAAAUGCGCAGAUAUCAGGAGGAACACCAAUGGCGAAGGCAGCACUCUGGGACGUGACUGACGCUGAGACGCGAAAGCGUGGGGAGCGAACAGG
RNAcentral lists this ribosomal RNA (253 nucleotides) under uncultured bacterium. RNAcentral describes it as "partial 16S ribosomal RNA". It matches the Rfam family "Bacterial small subunit ribosomal RNA", at positions 524 to 776 of the family's 1533-position model. The record is from RNAcentral.